This 76-nucleotide transfer RNA is filed under the name Rubrivivax sp. Its description in RNAcentral is "tRNA-Lys". It matches the Rfam family "tRNA". From Rfam's summary of the family: Transfer RNA (tRNA) molecules are approximately 80 nucleotides in length. Their secondary structure includes four short double-helical elements and three loops (D, anti-codon, and T loops). Further hydrogen bonds mediate the characteristic L-shaped molecular structure. tRNAs have two regions of fundamental functional importance: the anti-codon, which is responsible for specific mRNA codon recognition, and the 3' end, to which the tRNAs corresponding amino acid is attached (by aminoacyl-tRNA synthetases). tRNAs cope with the degeneracy of the genetic code in two manners: having more than one tRNA (with a specific anti-codon) for a particular amino acid; and 'wobble' base-pairing, i.e. permitting non-standard base-pairing at the 3rd anti-codon position. Lineage: Bacteria; Pseudomonadati; Pseudomonadota; Betaproteobacteria; Burkholderiales; Sphaerotilaceae. The record is from RNAcentral.
GGGCUCUUAGCUCAGUUGGUAGAGCAGCGGACUCUUAAUCCGUUGGUCGUAGGUUCGAGUCCUACAGGGCCCACCA